Molecule: long non-coding RNA, 157 nt
Organism: Empidonax traillii (willow flycatcher)
Lineage: Eukaryota; Metazoa; Chordata; Aves; Passeriformes; Tyrannidae
Exons: 3
Source: RefSeq, a predicted model, not a curated record
CUCCAUAUCCUUGGCAGUGGAUCCCACCUCUGAGCUCGAGGAAUUGUCCUCAGGGAUGGUUAAAUUCCAUAUGGAUCAGCUCUAUGUGGUGCAGAGAACAGCCCUGAUCUUCCACACCUUGCUUCUAACUCCUCGUUUUUUGGGUAUUUUUUCUCUU